CCUUCCUUCCUUCCUUCCUUCCUUCCUUCCUUCCUUCCUUCCUUCCUUCCUUCCUUCCUUUUUCUUUUUCUCUUUCCCUUUCUCCUUUUCUUUCUUCCUUUCUCUCUCUUUCUUUCUUUCCCAGAUCUGUGAUUCUAUUAUAUAAAUAACUCUUAGUGAGGAAAAUCCCUCCAUAGUUGCAAAUCAACCACCAUUCUGUAAAUUAGAGUCUUGGACAAUUGUCUGAGGGCAACUGAGAGAUUAUGUGACUUGGCUAUGGUCACAUUUCCAGUGUGUGUCAGAGGCAGGACUUAGACAAGUCCUCCUGACUUAGAAGUGAGUUCUUUCUAUAAUCUGCCAUGCUUCUUUUAAGGUACAACAGGUAGAGUACAAUGUGUUUCCAUAAAAAGAUCUUAAAAUUCUUCAAGGCUGUGAGUGUGAACAUCAGUAAUCAUCUCAUAGUUCCAUCUCUUUAGAAUUUGGUAGUCACCCUGGCCUUGUAAGGAGGAGCCCUGGGUUCUAGUCUGUGGCUAGCUAACAAUUACCUUUACAACUCCAGUAAAAUCACUUAACCAAGUAAUCAAAUAGAAGAUCUGAGGACCAGUGUGUCAGACACAGUGUUUUCAUGUUCAGAGAAGAGCAUAGAAUUUAAUAAUAGCUGGCAUUUUAAUAACAUUUAAGGUUUAAAAGUGAAUUACAUCUUAUCUCAUUUGAUCUUCACAACAAUUUUAUCCCAAUUUUAUAAUUAUCCCCAUUUUGUAGUUGAGGAAAUUGAUGUUUGGAGGUUGUCACUUACCUAAGGUAACAUAACGAGUAAGCACUGUGAGACAGGAUUUAACUCAUGUCUUGUUGAUUCCAAAUACAAUAUAGCUACCUAGCCUGCCCAAAGAACUAGACCCUCUCUCUCUCUUCCUCCUCCCCAACCUCCUUUUUUAUCCCUUCUACCCCUUCAUCCUUACCUUCUCUCCAGAUGAGAAAACUGAUUCCCAGACAAUGUAAAAGGCCAUAUAAACACUGGUUAUUUUUCUAUGUGUCCAUAGAGACUAGUCUCACAGAUGGUUAAUGUGGUAGAGUCUGGAUUUGAAUUCAGGUCUUAAGAAGUCUACAGCUAUGAUGUUUAUUUCAGCCUGCUAAUUUAAUGUAUUCUUGCUAAAAGAAUGCUAUUAGCAAUCAAUGAGACUCUUUAAAGUAUUAUAUUUAAAUGCAGAACCUCUAUUUUCUUUGUCUCAGUUAACUAAGUAAUUUUGAAUCAGUUGCAAAUGCUGGAGUACUCCUUGUCAUAUUUUUACCACAUAGAAUACUUUUCUAUAAACAUUAGAUACUUUAGGGCUGGAAGGGACCUUCAGGAUAAUUUUAUAGUUAGACCCUUUUAUUUUAUAGCAGAGUAAAGUUUGUAUGAAUGGGAAUAUAUAAAUUGGAACUUAUCUAUGCCCUUUUAGGGACAACAAUGGUAUCUAGGCGUUUUCUCUCUCUUAGAACCUACCUCAAAUUAUUGUGAGGAUAAAUGAGAUCAUCUAGCCUUGCAAGUCUUAAUGGACCUUCUACAUGGUAUCUGUCAUCAUCAUAAUUGUUGCUAUUGCUUUAGAAACUCCAUCUCUUUGAAGAUGCUGAAAAUCAGUUCCCCAGUAUUUUUUGAAUGAUCACCUUCAGCACAGAGUUUUCCUGCUGAGCGUUCGAUUAGAUCCAUUCACUCUUUUGAUCUUCAUCUUCUUUGGUGCAUCUUCUAAGUCUUUACUCAGUUCUUCAGAUCGUGAGGUUCUCACAUUCAGAUAUGGCGAUUCCAUUAUGAAAAAGAAGAGGCCAGAAUAGAAUUGUUGACUUCACAUCUUUUUUGUCAUCCUUCUGAUUUUGUCAGAAAGUGUUCUUCCUUCGUUUGGGGUGACUUGAGUUUCACUAUACCUUCUAGAGAUUCCUUUUCCUUCUAUCUUCUUUCACUGAGAGGGCCAUAUUAUUUGGACCAUGUCCCUUCAUAACACUUUCCAAUGAGAGGUGUGCAGAGUAAGCAUCUUUCUGGAUUGGUCAUUUGUUAGUUACCAAAAAAAAAACAAAACCUCCAAUUAAACCAAGUCAAACAAAAUUAAACCACUACCAGCAACAAAAAACCACAUUUGAUUAAGAAAAGGUAGAAACAACUUCACAGGCUCUCAUUCAACAAAUUAGAAUAAUUUAAAAUUCCUUUAUAGAUGCAAUGAGAAAAAUAUGUUUCUCUCAUUAUGAAUAUCAAGCAGACCACUCAGACUCUACAGUAUAGAGAGGAAUUCCCCAUAUUGGCUCUCUAGGUGGUUGUACUUGUGGGUGCUACUGUGCUGAUAGCUUCUAAUCAAGAAUGCUCAGUCAUAAGUUUGCAUAUUUUUUGGUUAGGUAUUGUUCUUGUAUGUGACUUAAUAGAAAAUUUUGUAAUACUUUUAGUGGUAUGUCAAAAUUCAUUUUGCCAAAACUAACUUCUCUAAGAAAUUAUGAAUCUAUGACUCAUGGGGAUACCAUAAUUUUUAAAGAAUAUGUUGAAAUAGAAUAAAUAAACUGAGGGAAACUAUUACUUGUUGAAAUAGAGAGGUAAACUGAGAGGGAUUGUUUCUUCUUACAAUGACUACUGUUCUCUGGUUGGCUGUGACUAGAGAAGGCUGCUACAGGAACCUAAGGAUGCUUAUUUGUAAUGGAGAUAGAAAUGAGAAAUGCUGAGGGAUGUCACACAGAGAUACUGGUACACAAGGGACUGCUCUGAGGUUUACUCUGGGGUCUGCCUAUCGAUCCCUACUGAUGGCUGAUGGAUCAAUCUAUUUCCUAACUCCUUCUUCCCUCACUCCCUCCCUUAACCAACCCUCUUCCUCCUGCCACCCUCUCCUCCCAAUUCUUCCCUCCCCUCUGAAUGAACCAUAAUAGAUACUAGUUUUCUUUCUCAGGUAAGGGGUUUAUUGUGAUAACAGAAUGGGAAACUGAUGUAAGAGGGAUGAGGAUUUCCCUAAAUUAUGGGGAUAAUUUUAGGAAGGUUUGAGGAAGUAUUCCAGUCACUAAGACAGUUAGAGAGAUGGAGGACAACAGUUUGAAUCUUCUUUCUUCUUCACCAAGAAAAAUCUCUCUGGUUCCUCCUGGCCAGUUCAACUCUCAAAUAGACCACCAACUCAAAAGCCAAGUUUCUUUUUCUCAUCAGCUUCAACUACCCAGAGUCAGAGAGACAGAGACCAAGUCCAAAAGCCAAAUUUCUCUUCUCAGUGUGGCCAGCAAACCCCCAACUGCCACUCCUGGGAACAUUCCAUUGGAAUCUUCUCCUGAUUGACAGCUAGAGCCAGGUCUCCAGCCCUGCAUCUUCGUUUACAAGCUCUCUCUCUCCCCAGCCUCUACUAUAAUGGGUGAUCCAGAAGUCAAUCAAGAAAUACCUCAUAUGUGCAAGAAAGCUAUAGAAUGUUACAAGUAAUUACUUACAUGUAAGAAGUGAUCUAAGGAAAUGAUUAUUUGGAACAAGAGGGGGGUUUUCAUGCAAUGAGAGCUAUGAAAAAUGAAUAUACAAGAUACUAGUUUGGGGUAUUGCACUGGUACCCACCAAAUCCUGUCCAACCUAAAUACAGGGUUCUUGGAAGCGAUAUUCAUCCUUCACUGGUGAUUUUGAGAAGGCUGUGGACAAGCCUUAUGUAGGAGGAGAAGGCACAAAUGGGCUGCAUUCGAGGACUGAGGAUUCAUAUCAAGAAUGACUAUGUUUCUUUCAUCAAAGCUUUUCUUUAUUGGAAGCUUACUCAUUCAAUUUGUCCCUUGGUUUAGGUGAACUCCAUGGACUAAGAUAGUGAUGGUGAAACUUAGAGACUGAGUGCCCAAACUGCAACCCUCAUGUGGCGUGUGAGACCACUGCCUUACCCCAGACAGGGGAGGGAGGAAACACUCCCAUUGGGCUGCUAGGCAGAGGGGUUGGUGAUGGAAGAAAUGUCCUCAGGCCUAUGUGGAGAGAGGAAAGGGAGCAGCACCCUCUGGAACAUUCUGGCACAUGUGCCAUGGGUUCACCAACAGAGGACAAAGUAAAAGGGGGACCCAAAGGAUAUCAGCAUAGGUUCCCCCUUCUUCUCAAAUAUAAGAAUAAUGGUUUAAUGGCCCCAUAACUGAUGGAAACUCAAGUUUUCUUGAUAUCAUAUAACAAUGGUCCAUAUUUCUAAAGUUUUUGCAUGGGAGUCCAAAAUUUCUGGACAUGUAUCAUUAGACUAGCCAGAAAAUACAUCCAUUCUUUUCUGGAUCAGGUCAGUUACAACAGAGUGUUUCUCUAAAAUAUCUUUCCUGAAUAGCAAGCUUUUGAAAUUAAGUGGUUGUUGUUCUUCAUACACAAAGAGGACCAAAAUGACAAAUUUAAAUAAGGCAGAAUUACACAAAAUUGUCAGCCUCAAUCUCUCUUUCAGAGUCAAUGAAGUCCAUUGGCAGGGCAAAAAUCACAAUGGCAGGUGAUGGCUAGGGAUGUAGCUGAUGGUUGGUGUUUUCCGUAUCUAACCAAGUGCCAUUUCAGCCAUUUUCAUGACUGCUGGAACACAUUGUUCUCAUCUCUUCCUUCCACUAGGGAAAGUCUUCUCAUGCCUGAGGCAGUCACUCUGCCUCUACCUUCAACUCACUGAUGAGUCUGAAGUCUGCUGAUGUCCUUAAUCUGGUUUAACUAGGUGUGGUCUCUGGGUCUGCUAUAGUUUCUUGGAGCCAUAGGUGAGAACUAUGUGACAGGUGGACACCAAAGGAGAAAAGCAGUUCUGAAAAGGGCUUGGCAAGCCUUCACACUAGAGGUACCAGUAUUCUCUGAUUGCCCUAUGUAGUAGAAAGAACCCUGGCUUUAGAAUUAGAGGAUCUGGGUUCAAAUCAUGACUAUGAUGCGUAUUUCUUUUCUGACCUUGAAAAAUUACAUGUAGAUCCUAUGGACCUCAGUUUUCUCAUCUGUAAAAUGAAAGGGUUGGACUAGAUAGAGUUUAAGGUCCCUUUUAGAUUUAUGAUCCUACAUUCUUGUUGUAUAAACAUGAUCAGACUCUCAAAGACCAUCUUUUCCUUGGAAAAAUAAUAACCCUCCAGGGAGAGGUCUCUACUCUUCCUCUUUGCCUGACCCAUUUCAAGGCUGAGAGACCAAUGUAAAUAAAUGCACAAAGAACACAUUUGUCAUGUGGAUGGUGGCAGCAAGGGCAGGGAACAGAAUGAAUAUAAAAUCAUAGUAUCUGCUUGUAAAAUUAGUGUAUAGGGAACUAAAAUUCUGAAUGAGAUGAGGCAGAGAAGGAAAUUCAAGGCUAACAAAGAGGGCUUCUUUUAACUAUAUUGUGGAAAAUAAAAUGAUCAAAACAGGGAGUGGAAUACUGUUUUGAGUGGGUGGCUAAUGAGGCGAGGUGGCAGAAAAUAGUAGAUAUACUUAACUGUUAUUUUGAGUCUUUUGUUGUUUUUUAUUUUUUCCUACCUGAGAGGUUGAUCUUUGGAUUGGAAAGGACAAGACAAAAAUAGGAGUUAUUUUAAAUCUCUAGAUAAAGAAAGACAUAGUGAGAGAUCAGCUACCUGUUCUUUGUGUGUUUCAUUCAUUAGUGUCAUAUGAACUAAACUCCAAGCCAUAAAAGAAGUGGCUUGUGUCACUGCUUGGUUAUCUUCAACAGAUUUUUGAGAGAGAAAAGUUACUGCAAGAUUGGAAAAAAGUAGAAGACCAAAUUUUGUUUGAUAAAAGAAGUGAUGGUGUCUGCAAGAUAAAGGCCAAUUUCUGGAAAAUUUCUAAAAUGAAUGAAAGGGAUGGAUACGAAACAUUUGGAAAAGGAAGCAAUGAUUGCUAAAAGUUAGCAUGACUUCAACAUGUCAUAACAAAUCACCUUGUUAGAGAAUCACUAAAUCUGAUAGUUAGAUGGGAUUUCAACAAUCAACUAAUUCAACUCAUUAUUUUCUUUUUCUUUUUUAAAUGAGGAAAAGAAACCCUCACCUUCCAUCUUAGAAUAAAUACUCUGUAUUGGUUCCAAGACAGAAGAGCUGUAAAGGCUAGCCAAUGGGGGUUAAGUGACUUGCCCAGGGUCACCCAGCUUGGAAGUGUCUGAGGUCAAAUUUGAAACCAGGACCUCCUGUCUCUAGGCCUGGUUCUCAAAUUGCUGAGCCACCUGGCUGCUCGCAACCCAUGUUUUUCUGAAGCAAAAAAGCCUCUCUAUAAGUCUUUAACAAAUAAACAUCCAUCUUUCACUUGAGAAUGUCAUGCAUGUGUGAACCCAUUCAUUACCUCUCAAGGCAGUCAUAUAAAGUUUGGAGCAACUAUGUUCUUAGGAAUUGUUUUUUCUUAAAUCCUGCAAAAAUCUGCCUCUCUGCAACCCUUACCCAUUGCUUUUAGUUUGGCCAAGUGGAACAAAUCAGACUUUACUUAUGUAUGUAUCAUAUCGGUGAAGGCAAUAUCCCUUCCUAAUUCUUCUCUUUUUCAAGAUAAACUUAUCCAGUUUCUUUAACACUGGUAGGUGGUAUAGUGGAGAAAGUCCUGGAUUUGGGGUCAGGAAGACCUGAGUUCAAGUCCUCCUUCAGGCAAUUACUAGCUGUAUAGUCUGGGCCAAUCACUUGACUUCUAUCUCACAUUUCUAAAAUGAAGAUAAUAAUACAUCACAAGGUUGUUGUGAGAAACAGAUGAAAUAAUAAUGUUAAGUACUUCACUUGAUGUUAAAGAAAUAUUUAUUAUUGUUACUAUUAUUAUUGGGUUUGAUUUCCUAUACUUUCAUCAUUUAAAGGAUUUGUUUCUUGAUACUCUCAGUGCCUCUGUGACUGAGUCCUCAACACUGGGUCUGUCCUUGCUGUCCCUUUAUUUCCCUUAAGAUAUUAUUGCCCUUCCCCUCCUGUUGUCACCUCCCCUUCCUCCUCUCUCUCAUCUGUGCCUAGGGUCCAGCAAGCUAAGCAAACAUCCUCAGGAAAUCGCCAAACAAUACAGGCAGGACAAAGUUAAGGGACAGAUUGGAAACUCAUGGGCUGUGAGUUCUAUGUCCUGUCCUUCUGCUCACUGUAAUAUUCAAGUAAAUCAUUUCAAAUCUUGUUUCUUCCAUUUCUUUAUUUAAAAAGAAGAACUGUAUGUCUGUGCUAUUUCUCCUCUUUCUAUGGGUAUAUAGAGGUCCACACUGAGAAUGUAAAUUAAUCCCUUGGGAAAGGCAAAAAAUACUUACUGGUGUGAUGGUGAGUUAUUGGUCUUCACUGGCCCCAGACAUGAUUGUGAUUCAUAGUAGAACUGAGCGAUGGAUAGUGGGAAGGAACUCUGGGUGAUUUCAGCCUCCCUCUGACCAUUUUUUUCCAGUCAGCUGAUUCAGGUUUAUUUAUUAUGAGACACUGACCCUGGAUAAUACAACCACUAUAAUAGUUUAUCUAGCACCAAUAAAUCAAACAACAUGCAUUUAUUAAAUACCCACUAUAUACCGGGAACUGUGUUCAGUUCCAAAAAUGUAAAAAACAAAAUGAAAUCAAUCCUAUUCAUGAGAGAAUGUAAACACCAAAUUAAUUGUACACAAAACAUCUUCAAAAUAAAACUAAAAAUUUUGGGGUUGAAGGAAGGAAGGAAGGAAGGAAAAAGAAAGAAAGAAAAAAAGAAAGAAAGAAAGAAAGAAAGAAAGAAAGAAAGAAAGAAAGAAAGAAAGAAAGAAAGAAAGAAAGAAAGAAAGAAAGAGAGAGAGAGAGAGAAAGAAAGAGAGAGAGAGAGAGAGAGAGAGAGAAAGAAAGAAAGAAAGAAAGAAAGAAAGAAAGAAAGAAAGAAAGAAAGAAAGAAAGAAAGAAAGAAAGAAAGAAAGAAAGAAAGAAAGACCAACAGCUUGGAUGAUCAAGGAAGCUUGCAUAAAGAACAUUAUGCUUUUGCACAAGAGUUUUUUUAAUUGAAAAAUUUUAUUUAAUUAAUUAAUUUAGAAUAUUUUUCCAUGGUUCCAUGAUUCAUGUUCUUUCCCUCCCCUUCUCCUUCCCAUAACCGAUGUGCAAUUCCACUGGGUUUAACAUGUAUCAUUGAUCAAGAUCUAUUUCCAUAUUAUUGAUAAUUUUUUGCACAAUAUUUUUGAAGGAAAUGAGGUUUCAAGAAGUAGAGGUAAGGUGGGAGAGCAAUCCAGGAAUGGGGCACAACCAGGACAAAGAUAUGGAGGCAGAAAAAGGUCUAUCCUAGCUAUGACAAGUCACAAGAAGUUUCUAUAACAAUGAUUGAAUUCCUAGGCAAGAGCUAGGUUCUUGCUGCAUUGUUGAUGUCCUUAAAUCUCCCUAUAGAGGAGGCAUAUUAAAAGAAUUAAAUCAGGACUUAGUAUACUAGUUCUGCUAUUCAUCUUCUCUGCUGUCCAGAGUUAAUAGCAGAACCUAUCUGAGCCUCUAUUUCCUCAUUUGUAAAAUAGGCUUCCUAAUAACUGCCUUUCCUAGCUGUCAGGAUUGCAUUAAUAUCUACUUCAUUGCUUUGCUUCAACAAAUGUUUCUUCAGCCAACGAGAUGUGAAAAUGCCUGCAAGGAGGACUGAAAUGUAAGUUUUAUCAGGGAUCUUAAUGGUGAUUAAAAUAAUAAAGGUCAAAUAAGCCCAGACUCAGCAGCUAUUUACUCUUCACAGAUCCAAACCAAACCAAACACAAAAUAAGAACUGUUUAUUUCUCUUCUGUUUUAGGGUCUUAUGUCCUUGGCAGAGGCAGAAUUUCCUCUGUGGAAAGGUAAAGCCUGCCCCAUUUCAAGAGAAAGGCAAAAUCAAAGGAGUCUGUUUAUACAAAGUGAAUGUGGUUUCAUCAGUAAUUUUUUGGCUCAUGGUUCAUUUUGGGCUGCAGAGAAUGAAAAGGAGGAAAAGUCAAAUUAGACAGGACCUAAGAGUCAUCCUUUUCUGAGACAUAAGGUGUGGUCCAGUAGAUAGAGCACCUGGCUUGGGCUCAGGUCCCUCUGCACCUACUCACUGGCUUUGUGACCUGUGCCAAGUCAUUUGCCUUUUUCCUGGACCACUUUUUGAUCAUCUCUCAAAUGGCAGGUUUGAAUUAGAUGAUAUCUAGAUAAAUAGCUAGACUAGCAUUCAUAUAGUUUUGCAAAGUGCUUUACAAAUAUAAAUUUAUCCUCAGAAUAACUUCAGGAGAAAUUAUUAUGCCCAUUUUAAAGAUGAGGGAAUGUAGGUAGAUUGAGAAGUGACUUGUGUAGCAUCAUACAAUUUAUAUCUGAGGCUAGAUUUGAACUCAAGUCUUCCUGACUCUAAGGCUAGUCCUCUGUGUACUGUGCCACCUUGUUGCCUAAAUGACAAGUACCUCUCUAGGACCAAUGACUGAAAUGAAAGGGCAACCCACAUAUUUUGACAGAGGAGGAAACUGAGUCACAGAGAAAUAAUCUGAGUUACUCAAAGUCCAAUGACUACCAUUAGUAGUCUGGAGAAUAUCUAAAAAAGAGUGACAAAUGCUGGAUCCAGGAGAAGACAUGCCUGGCGGAAUGGAGAUGAUAGCUGUCUCUAAAAGUCUCUGAAAGGUUCUCAUAUGGAAGAUGAGUUCUGCUUGGACACAGAAGCCAAAAUUAGGAGCAAUGAUUAGAAAUCACAAAGGAUCAGGAUUGGGACUAUAGGAUAGGAAGGAAAAUCUGUAAAUGUUAGGGCUAUCUCAAUGUAGAAUAAGCUUCCUCUUUAGUCAAAGCCGGGAUGACCUAUAAUAGAUUUAGAGCUGGUAGGGACAUGGGGGUCAUUAUGCCCAUUUUUAUAGGUGACAUGACUUAGAGAUUUUUCCAGAUCAAAUAGCUAGUUAAUGGAAAAAGCAAGAUUUGAACCCAGGUCUACCUGAGUUCAUGUCCAGUGCUCUCUUUUCUAUAUCACCUGAUUAUAGAAAGGAUUAUAGUAUAUCUCCCCUAAGAUCCCUUCUACUUCCAAGAUUCUGUGAUUCUGAGAAUCUCCAAGUUACCAAGGAGAUUAGAAAGGUAACUGUUUGGGAGGGAGGGGAGGCACUCUGCGAUGUAGGGAGAUAUGGCUGCUAUUGAGACCUGGGGAGGUUUGGUUCCUGAGACAGUCAUCCCACCUUCCCUGCCUUACUUCUGGGGGACAAAGAAGACAUCCACUUCCUGAGCCAAUCUGAAGUAAAGUGGAUCUGAGAACAGUAGGACCAACAUAACAGGAAAAUAUUUCAGUGACAGAACCCAACACGUGUGUGUUUGGCGAGGCUGGUGGAGGUUAACAAGGAGCUGAGUAUUAACUUAAGGUGGCUGAACAGCAAUGGAAAGAUGAUCGCUGGCCUUCUCCGAUCUCUGGGAGGACCUGGGAAUUGAGAACCCCAUGAGGUCUUACAAAUCUCCUCCAGAUUCCCUCACAGGCUACUGCUGCUGCUUAGGAGAUUCCCAGGGACAGGCAGCAGUGAAAUAGUGGAGCCUCAAUCUGAAGCAGCUGACAUCAGGCUCAGAGCAAGAUCCAAGAAUCACCCCCCUGAAAACCAGCCCCAAUAAUCUUCCAAAGAAGAGAAUAGAACACAGCUGAGAGAAAAUAUCUCUGAAUGGCCAAGAACUUUAAGGAGGACCAACUACUCCUCCGAAUUUGAUCCAGGCUUUGACUUGAAGAAACUGGAUUUCCAGAAUAGCAGAUAUCAGUUUCAACAGUCCUGAGGCCCAGGCGAGAGGACAAUGAGACCUGGGACCCAUACUAACAUUCUUUUGGACUGGGACAAGCUGGAGAGUUCCCACCCAACCCUCUUCUUGACAUUUAAAGUCUUGCAUCACAAUGUAUAAGUUAAAAACAUACACCUGAGCAUUAUCUCUGAAUAUUCAGAAAGAAGCAACUCUCAGUUCUGAGUCCUUAGUUAGUUUUGCAUUGCCUAUUUCCCCCUUUUCUUCAUCCAAGAAAUACUGACUAGGGUAUUAGAGCAAGAAUGUGGUUUCAUCCCGAAAAUGAUUUUUAUACUCAACAGCUUUACCCCAAAGAGUUUUCAGAGUUAGCAUCCUAGAAUGUCUUUUGUCAGGGUGCCGUGACCUCUGAUUGCAAGGAUCUUCUAAUCUCUUGGCACCGGGAUACUGAAUGAAUUAAUGGAAUUCUCAAAAAUUAUUUUCAGGGAUGUAGUUGUCACUGAUCUCGUGGCAUAAAUGCAUUACUGCCUAGUCCUAGCCUUUGGUCUACAAUCCACCUCUAUCACUUCUAGCAGUGUAUAAUGAAGCCACAGAGGCCCAAGCUACACAAGCAAACCCCAAAACAAACACACAAAGAAAGAUCUGGCAACUUCAUUUCCUGGCUCUGUACUGGUCUGACAUGGAUCUCACCUGGCUCUCUUGAUCUUUCUCCCAUUAUUAUUUUCAGUUCUUUAGUCAUAUUAUUAUUGCUUGGCUCAGUUUUGAGGAGAGAGGCUGGUUCCCCCCUUCCUAUUUUUGGCUGCAGCUACUCCCCUCUUGGUCUCCAGAGGAAUUGUUUCACCUGUCUAAAUGUGGCAACACCCAGUCAUUGAUGAUCUAAAUCAGUAUGAUCAACCCUGUUAUUGAUUUGGGUAGUGUUCUUUCUAGGGAAAAUUAACUGAAUUACUUUUCAGUUUUUAGUUUGCUUCCAGGAAAUGCCCCAGUCACAUUUGCUCUGGUAGUGAAGCAAACUGAGUAUGGUUAUCAGCUGGAGUUCAAAUCUCCCAAACAUGCAUGGCAUUUCCGAUUCCUAUACAAUGUAUGAUAUGUUCUGCACAAUGUGCUAGAAUGCAUCAUAAGUUAUUUCUGCAAAACGUGAUUCCUGUCCAGUCUUGAAGUUGGGGGUGGCGGCAGAGUAAUCAUAUAUAUAUAUAUAUAUAUAUAUAUAUUGACUUCCAGUCUGCAGAACUUACAAUCCUGAGUCAGUCUGGUGACAUUUGAAAUGCCAAUUCCUAAGACAAAGCUGAAAGGCUCUAUCUGUAAGCAAUAAUGCUGCUGAGCCCCUAGCCAAGAUCUCACCCAUUUAAAAGGGUCCUUUCUGAAGAAUUCAAGAAUAAGGAGUGAUAGGAUUUAUGGAAAUCGUGGUUGUGCUGACUUGCAUUAUGUAAAUGUGCUUGCUUUACAAUAAAACACAUUCAUUUUCCUUGGCAAUGAGAUUUCUGUCACCUUCCUGCAAACUGUGUCCUCAGUUGCUUUGUGGAGUAGCUGUUGGUGAGCCCAGCAGUGUCUGACCUGCCAAGGGCAUGGCUAGGGGAUAUUGGCCUGCUCCUUCUGAAAGCUCUCUGGGGUACUCCGUUGUCCAGUUAGAGGGGAGAAGAACUGUAGGUAACAUUUAGUCCAACCCACUCAUUUUAAAUAGGAAGAUGCCAAAGAUUGCAUAAGUGACGUGGCAUGCCCAUUGUCUGGCUACUAGUUGUCGUGGCACUGGGCAGUAGAAUUUCUAACCCAGCACGGCCUAAGGAAUGCUCUGCCAUUUUCCAUUACUCACUUCUGUUUUGAUUUCUAUUGCUGUGGUUAACCAUGAGUUGACCCAUGUGAAUCAGUGAAUCAACAGUCCCUUGCCCUGUGUAUGAAUGUCUACCGAGAAGAGUGUGUGACUAUGCAUUAAUUUUGUGUUUUGUAAGCCUAAUACAAAGAGCUAUUUUGAGUGGACUGUUAUAAUAGGCAAAAUAAGAUGAUACAAAUAUGCAAGAUCCAUUGUUGUGGAUGAUUAUGUGUGUUUAAAAGGUCUAGUAGAGUCAAAGCUGUAGUGAUUAACUUUGAGUUCAUAAACUUGUUUCAAAAACGAUUAUUUCAAUAUAUGUGAUUUCUUUUGUAAUCUGAUAUAUUUCUACAUGUUCAAAAACAUUCUGAGGAAAAGAUCCAUGGGACUCACUUGACAGCCAAAGGUAGCUAUACCCCACUCCCCGAAGAUUAAGAAACCCAGGGGGUCUAGGACAAUAGUAAACUUUGCCUUCCCUAUGGAAUCUGAUCCACUUUAGGAAAUAGAGUGCAUUCCUCCAUCUUAUGCCUCAUUGGACAUGAAGUCAUCCCUUGAACUGCCAGUUCAAUGCAAUAAGCAACUAACUAUCAAGCAUCAAAUGUCCCAGGCAGCUUACUAGGCACUGGAGAAAUAGAGACAAAGUAAAUGAUAGUCCUUGUUUCCAAGGAACUGUAGGGAGCAUCAGGGAGACUGGUGCCCUGAUUAGGAUGCUUGGAAUGCCACCCAUCUUCACCUCUGCCUCUUGGAAUCCCUUCAAGGCUCAGUCUAUCUACCAUUUCAUGUACAGAUUUCCUCAGUGUUUAGAAAUUCUGCUACCCAAAGAUAUGAUGGAUUUACCUGCUCCCAUCUACUUGCUACUUUCCCUCCAGAAGAAUGGAAAAGGUUCAAGGGCAGGGACUGCCUCCAUUUUUGUCUUUCUACUUUUAGUAUAUAAUGCACACUAGGUAUUUAAUCUCUACUUGCUGAUGUAUUGAAUUCAACAAUGGAACUACAAUAGAAACAGUAGUAAUUAAAUAGGAUAAUAAUACAUACAUGACACAUCAUUUAUACAUCAAAAAAUCCAAAGCAAUAGGACAUUUAAUUCAGCAAUGAAUUACAUCUGGUUCAGGGAAUCUUUGGCAUUAUCCUAACUUAGGCCAUGGAUAGCUUCGAUUGCUCCAAGUCUUUUGUUGCCUAAUGGUCAUUCUACAUCUCAGUCAGCACUGACCAUAUGGACAGUCAUUGUGAUAGCUUCUAGGAAUACAGAGAAGGGCAAAAGCAGUACCUGCCCUCAAGAAGUUCACCUUAUAAUAGUGGGAACAAUAUACAAAUGACUAUGUACACAUAAGAAAUAAAUAGAUUAGGGGGCAGCUGGGUGGCUAAGUGGAUUGAGAGUCAGGCCUAGAGAUGGGAAGUCCUAGGCUAAAAUCUGGUCUCAGACACUUCCCAGCUGUGUGAUCCUGAGCAAGUCACUUGACCUUCAUUUCCUAGCCCUUACUAUUCUUCUGCCUUGGAACCAAUACACAGUAUUGGGAGAACAUUCUGGGUAUAGGGAGUGGGGGACGAAAUGUAAAUCUGUAACUAAGUUGGCUUAUAGUGUAGAUUUGCUAACAGCGUUGCUAAAUUCUAUGAUUUGUUUUUUCAUUAAGACAGAAAUUCUUCAUUUGGAUUUUUCUUUAAUAUUUCCAUAAUGUGAUUUCUAUAUUAUAAUCUAUAUUUUAUAAUAAUACAAUUAAGAAUAUGAUUCUGAGAAGGGGUCCAUAGAUUUGACCAAAUUGCACAAGGGGUCCAGAAUGUUAGAUAAAGUGAAGACUCCUAGGGACUCUACCAAUCAGCCCUUGAAUAAGAAUGAUACUGCCAAAGAAUUCACUCAUCCCCUUAAAUCCUAGGUGAGGAUAUUGAGUUUCUAAUAUACAGUGCUUGUUGUACUCAAAGUAAUACCUUUUCUUGGAAACUAUCUGUGUGGACUAGGAAGCAAGGCAUUUCGGUGCUUGAAUCUCUCAUUUUAAUUCUUACCAUAACCCUAUGAGGUAGGGGCUGCUAUUACUACCAUUUUGUAGUUGAGGAAACUAAGGUAAAGAUUAUGUGACUUAUCUGAGACAAAAUUUGAACUCAAAUAUUCCUGAUUCCUCUCCUCUGUUCUCUCCCUCUCUUUCUCUCUCCCUCUCUUUCUCUCUCUCUCUCUCUCUCUCUCUCUCUCUCUCUCUCUCUCUCUCUCUCUCUCUCUCUCUCUCUCUCUCUCUCUCUCUCUCUCUCUCUCUCUCUCCCCCCCCCACAAUAUGGACAUAUAUGAAAACAUAUAUUUCUUGUACUGCUCCAUUUUCCAAUGUCUUCUUCAGCAGAAUAGCUAAUCUCCAGAUUUUUUCAAUCUUGUUAUCAAAUCUGUGUUUAAUUUCUGACCCAAGUCUUUUCAAUAGUCUCUGAAUACUAAGGUUUUUCAGCAAAAUUUUGUUAUCUUGCUUUCAUUUUUUAUAACAAAUUCAGACCCAAUACUGUCUUUUUCUUGAUAAUGAUCUCACAGGCAUCAGUUUCCUCUGAACCAAAGAAUAAUUCUCUUUUCAAGUGCUCUUGACAUAUUUAAGGCCACUUUUAUCACAGAAUGGUCCUUCUUCUCUGAUUGUAUCUUGAUGGUGAUAGUCUUAUACCAAAUCGUUGAAAUCUAACUGAUGAUCUUGGGGUUCAGUAUGAGUUCUCUUACUGACCCCUCUUCAUUUUCUAAUCCCUUGGACUUUAGCUUCUCACUCACAAACUCUUCAUUUUAUUUUUGAGUAAAUUUAUUACUUUUGUGAUUCUAUCCAAGACAGAGAAAUACAUUUUUCUACUUUUUAAUUAUGGUGAUUUUACAUCAAACUGUUGUGACCUUUAUUUUCCUAUUUUUUCCCCUUUCACAAAUAGGGGAAUUUUGUCUAAAUCCCCAUGUUACAACAGAACCUUUAUAAACUUAUAUAUUCCAGACUCUGUUAUCGAUUAAAUUUGUUUGUUCUUCUUAAGCUUAUACACAAGAAGAUGCUUUAUAGCCAGACAAAGCUGAGUUUUUUCCAGGGUAAGCGCUCCUAGGCACUAUAAUGCUUCUGCAUUAAAUCCUUUAUGUUCUGACCAUUGAUGUCUUUAAAUUAGGAAGAGGUGGUACUUAUCAGUGUCAAAUAGAUUCCACUUUAUCUCCAGGCUGUGUAUGAAGCCAUAACCUACACAUAUGAGUGUAGCUUCAUUUGCUUUUCCAAGCUUUCCUGUUCCUUUUUUUUUUUUAGUUGUCUUUUCAGUUCAGCAUUCAGCUGGAGUGACAGUAGGCUCUUUCCCUUUGUAGCUUAACAAAGAAAUAUGUGCCAUAGCACUCUAUUGACACCAAAUCAUCUCUCUAGUUUUUGCAAUCAGGCUUGCCAUGAGUCCAGAAUCUUUGAUAUCCUUCAACUCCUGUGCAUGUCUAAAAGAUGACUCUCUGAGGUAUCCAUUAAACUAUUCAUCAUUUCUGACUCAGAUGCUUGCCAAUUCUGUGAUGAUUUUGUCACCUUGUUGAAUCACACUUCCUAUGUUUGUUCCCUGAAAGAGGACAUGGUACUUUUCCCAGAAAACCAUCCCAACUCUGACUUAAGAUAUUCCUCAGCAAAGAUAGAAUGAUUUGGGCAUUGCCCAAGGACAUCGUGUCCUUUUUAAAAUCAAGAACUCUGGCUCUUGCCUCACUGAAAAGGGUAUUAUCCUUUUUUCUGAGUUAGAAUUUCCUUUAUUUUUCUUUCUGGCAGGCCUUCUUUUUCCAUUAAGGCCUAUAUUCUUGUGACUAUCUCUUCCUUCUCAAAAGGAAGCAUCCAUGUCAUUUUCCAAAGUGUCAUUUCCUGUUGUCAAAAUAUUCAAUAUUUUGACAUGAUCCAAAAGAUUGGUAAUUUACAGAAUACCAAAUGGUUUCUCCAUCUCUGGCCUCACUAUCAAUUACCUGUAAAUCAAUACUUAUUUUAAUUCCCAUUAGUCAAGAGCCCUCAAUGAGUUCCCAGUUCCCAAACACCAUAAUAUUUUCCAAUAUGUCAAUCAUUUUCUAAGUAAGGAUGACAUAAAUUCAUAUCUAAUAAAUCAAUAAUACUAUCAUUAGACUUGCAGUCUAUAUAAUGAUAAGCAAUGAAAUAAUAGUUACACAAAAUUAAAAUGCAUCAAAUGAAAAAGAAUCAAGUCAAUGUUAUGAGUAGCAGCGGCAUGAUCAGGCACUUUAUAUGUAUGAUUUCAUGUGAAAAUGCCCAUGAGAAAGAAAGGGAAAAAGGUUCUGGACAAUAUUCAGAGCAGUAUUUUAGCAUCAACCUUAUUAACUUCAUUUUACUUAGCCUACACUUUGAUUCUCUACAAUAUUCAUUUCAUUCUGUGUUUUAAAAUAAUUAAGAGAUAUAUUUAGGAAUUUAUUAAUUACCAAAAUUGCAAAUUGUUUUUCAGAUAGUUAUCUCUGAGCCCCCACCCUAGUUAGUGAAAUAAUAUUUACAUGAAAGUAUUUAAUACUAUUCAUUAAUGGGUAUUUAAUACAUUUACUUCAUAUUAAAAUAUAUUAAUUGUAUUUAUUUAAUAAACUUGAAAAAUCACUUUUCCCUAAUCAGUUGCUUCCUCUCUCAUUUUCUCUAAAUAUGCAAAUAUGUGCACAUACUUUAAAGUUAUUGCCCAUAUACUUUAACAGGAUAACCAUAAUACAAAUAUAUUAUUAUUUAUAAUAUAGUAGCUUAAAGAAAUAUUAUAGUCAUAGUCACCUUUAACCAUCAUUUUAGCUCUUGAUUUUUCACUUCUGAAUCAAAUCCCCACUAACUUCUCUGGAGAGUAGCCAAAGUCUCAAGGGCAAAGUUACUUCUCUCUUCUAAUAUAUUUCCAGCCAUGACAGGUAACUCUCCAAGACUAGAGUUAAAAAUUCUCCUUUUUCUAAAGAAUCUCUGAUUCCUGACUGAAAAAAAGGAAUUUUCUUUAUAAUUAUUUUUUAGUUAAUUCUUUAAAUAAGAAUUAACAAUAAUUCUAUCAGGAAAGAAAUUCUCUCUAUCCACUCUUUCCAUUAUUUGGUUUCUUUUUAGUGAUCACCAGUAAGAGGUUUAUUUUUUUAGAAUGAUACUUAGAUUUCUAGUUUCCCACAAAUAGAAGGAUGGUAAGCUACAAUUGCAAAAGAUUUCAAAGUCUCUUUAAGUGACAGUUUCUAUAGUUGUGUAGGAGAAGCUAUUGAAGUUCAUUUUAGAAUGAAUUAAAUUGAAGGCAUUUUCCCUAUACAUAGCAGCUUUCUAAUGUGAUCAGUUAUUGACAGGUCCAUAUCAUAUGGAUGUUUGCAAUUAUUAUGCAAUUGCUGAAACUCUAAAAGUUAAGAAUUUUAUGAAUGAUUAAAGGACUGAAUUCAUUUCUUCAUAUGAUAGCAAAAGACAUACCAGAUUUCCUUUUCAUAUCUUUCAAGGAAAGGUAAAAAAAUCUCAGAGCUCACACUGUGGGAUAUCUUGCAGUAUGGAAACCUUGUUUUUAUGGAGAAAGUCCAUAGUGUUUCCUAUCCUUUACCUAUUGAUUAUGAAGGUUAUCUUUAGCUCCUUGCUGAUAAGGAAGUAUACUCUGUAACUACCUGGGAUCUAAUCUUCUUAGAUAAUUCUUUAGUCAUGGAAUUCCUUUAAGAACAUUGCAUUAAAGUCUGAAGGGAAUAGAGUCCUAUUUGGGGCAUGUGUUUCCAGGCAAAAUAAGUCAAAGAGAUGAUUAUGGCAUAGUUCUUCAAUGUAAAAUAGAGGUGAACUUAAAUUGGAAAGAACUCCUUUGGUCAUUUUGUGUAAUGGAUACGUUUUUGCUAGUGUUUAACAUUGAAAACAGUAUUCUUGCUUGUAAAUAAAUGCUAGAUUUUAGGUUUUGUUUUUUGAAACUUAUUUUGGAAUACCUCAACUUGGAAUGGUAUUAAGUCAGUGACUUGGUAAUUGCCGGUGGGUCUGUUGUAAGUCAUUUGGCAGUAGGGAAUGUUAUUUUUUGGGGGAAUACUAGGAGCUUAGGGAUUAUAGGAUGGUAGUGUUCAAUCUGGAGUGAACUUUAGAGAAAGCUGCCAUCUUCUUAGGCUUUUCUGACCAGGACUAAACAAGAUCAAUAAUGUUUCUUAUGGCCAACUUACUACCAUGGACAGUAACCUGGUCCUGUCUACCCCAAGCUCUUUGAAUGGAUAGAGCAAGAAUAAUUUUAUUAGCCUUUGAGUUAGUGAGAAAAUGAAAGUUCCCCAGUGAGUACUAUGUAGUGCCAAUCCCUAUAUGACAGAAAAACGUGGUAGGAUCCAUGCCAUCAGCAUGAUCCUGACCUCAUAAUGAAAUGCUUCCAUGAAAAUUUCAUGAUAGAACACCAGUAAGAAUGUAAAUUUCUUGAGGGCACAGACUAUUUGGCUUAUGAAUUGGUAUCCCCAGCCCUGUGUCUUGAAUUUUGUCAGUGUUUGAUAAAUACCCAUUGAUUGAUUGAUUGAAGUCUCCCAAGCCUAACAAAUUUCUUUGGUGCUAUAUAGUAUUUAAUCAUGGUAGAAUGCAAAAGUUUCUGAAGCAAUGACCAUUUUUGUAUCUCUAGUGCCUAGUGUAAUGCCUAGGACAUAAUAGGUUCAUGAUAAAUGAUUGCUGAAUUGAAUUGGAUAGUAUCCAAAAUAAUACCCCUGUCACAUAUGUCCAUGCUGAGCAGCAUCUUGGUGACAUUAAUGUUGUGAUUACUUUAAGACUACUCAAAAUGUCUUAAUGCUGAGCAUGAGAAAAAGCAAAAAGAAUGAAUGGGUAGGAGAAGUGGAGAAACCAGGGAGAAAGGAGAGCAAAUUGAGUUGUAUCAAGCUAAGGAAUGAUGGAAAGUAUAAUAAUAUGUAACAAUAAAUAAUAAUGAAUAAUAAAGCUAAUUUAGAUGAAUGUUCUUGAACUUCCUUUCAAAGGGUAAUCACUCCCACUAUGGUUACCUCUUUCAGGAUGCCUUCAUAACCUGUUAAUUGUAGGACCAGGUCAUUGUCCCUUUGGUAGGGCCAUAGAUGUUUUAUCAUAUAGCUUAUGCCUAACUAAAUGUUUGUUUAGAAAUUCAGGUCUAGUUAAUUAUAGCAAUAGUUGAGAUGGAGAAAAUACUUCAUCUUUGCUGUAAGACAAAUAGUCUGGUUCCUUUGAUCUUGGUCUCCAGUCUUCCCCAUCGAUCCACACUCCUCCUCUUCACUGGUGUACUUUUAGAGGAAGUGGUUUAACGUUACUGAUUUUACUUUUAAGAGUUCAAAUGAUUUAAAAUUACCUACACAAUACACUCUCAAGUUUUCCAGAAUCUAUCUCCAUUUUCUCUAUUUAGUCAUACUCUACUAUUUUCAAAUAUAUUUCUCCAAUGCAGCAAUAGUAACUUAUUGAUUAUUUCCAAACAUAGAAAAAGGAAAUUUUUCAUUUUAUGUUUUCAUUUUUUUUUCUGAUUUGUGCCCCCCCCCACUUUUUAGCUAGAAAGACCUGAGAGCAUUUGUAGGAUGAGAGGAGUCAGUAGAGAGGUAAUUAUUGAAUAUAGGAGAGAAGAAAUGGAAAUAAACAUUGGCUUGAGUUCCUAGAGGAACUGCAAAGGGAUGGACUAAUGGACAUUAAAGAAGUAUUGAGUUCAGUUCUGGUUGCCACAAUUUAGCAAAAAAAGAAUGUAAGUUCCUUUAGGGCAAAGAAUUUUUCAUUUUUGUAUUUAUAUUAUUAUGAUUUAGCAUAGUGUUUGGCACAUCAGAAGGCACUUAACACAUAUUUGUUAAUUAAUUAGCUUUGGUAAACUGGAUAACAUCCAAAAAAGGGUUUGGCAAAAGUCUCUAAGAUCAUGUCAUAUGAGGAUUAUUCGUAAGAAAUGAGGAUAUUUAGCAUAGAGGUCAAAAAAUUGAUUGAAGGAGUCAUACCUGAGGGGAAUGAAAUGGAGAAAUGACAGCUGGUACUAAAUGCUUGAAUCUGUCACAUUGGAUAAGGGAUUAGGUUUGAUCUUCUUUGACCACAUUGGGCAGAAGUAGGAUCAAUGGGGAAGUGGCAAAGAGGCCAAUUUAAACUUGACAUUGGGGAACUCUUCCUAUAUAAUCUUCCUAUAUAUAAUAUAUAAAUUCAUUAUAUAUACAUAUAUAUAUAUAUGUAUAUAUAAUUAGGAUUAGAAUGGUCUCAAUAUAGAAUGGAUCUCUGUAAGCACUCCCUCAUUGUGCACCUUCCCACCAAAGCCGUAGGACCAACUAUGAGGCAUACUGUGUUGAAAACUGUUUUUGUUUGAGAGGUAAAUUAGAUAUCUUCCAGCUCUGAACUUAUGUCAUCCAGGGGAAGUUAUCCUUGGCAAAUAAACUAAUCUCAUCUACUGAGAGCAGUGGGAGUGUUGAAGGCUGAGAGUCUUCCUUGAAGGCAGGGACUGUUGUAUGUCUUGUUGGUCUGCAGAUCCCCAAUACCCAUCAAAACACCUAGCACACAGUAAGCACUCCCAAAAUGCUUGCAGAUCAUCUGACUCUUGUACUUCAGAAAAAUGACAAAAUAUAAACAAAAGAACUACUUUUCUUCAAGAGCUAAAUUCUUUCUAAUCAUUCAUGAAUUAUAUCCUCUCAGCUUGUUGUCAGGUGGUUACAGCAGGGAGCAUGUCUUUCUAUGUGUUUAACGAAGUGCCAAAUACCCUGUCAUCACCCAACCAGUCAUAAAGAGUUGUAAUAAAUGGAGAUGGUAUAAUAAGACAUUGGAAAUACUGAAGGAAGAAUUAUAUACUUUGAAGAUGAGAAAGAAAAUGCAGAUUGAGAAAAAAGUAGAUAGAUACCUGCAUGCAUUUGUUGUCUUGUUUGCUAUUUGAACUUUUGACAGGUGGGAAAGGUGCUGCACUUCCUAGUCUCUUUGGGAAUCUCACCUUCAAAUAUUCUACAAACAUCGAAAAUUCAUUAUCAGUGAGUCAGAGUUAGUCAUACUUAAGAUGGUAUAGAGAAUAUUUUGCCAGUCCUAGAGAGAGGAAGACAACGGUCCAAAUCCUUGUGUCAUAAUUAACAGCAACAACAUUUACAGAAUACUUUAAAGUUUGCAAACUAUUUUAUAUGAUUUCAUUUCCACGAUGGAGCUGUGUUGUAUAUAAGAUGAUAUUAUUUUCUCCAUUUUCUAACUAGGGACCCAGGCUUUAAAUAAAUCAGGUUUUUUCUAGACUCAGAAAACUAGUAAGUGUCUGAGGCACAAUCAGAACCCAAGUCUUUUUGACUACAGAUUCAACCCUCUGACUACUGCACUAUCAGCUGCUAUCAUUUUGGGGAGACAUAAAAUCUCUGAGUCACAAUUCAUUAAUUGAUUUGUUAGUAAUUCUUGCAUAUUGCUGCUGUGAGGCUCAACUGAGACUCUUAUGUAUGUUUAUAAAUAAAAACUUUUUUCCAUGCUCUAAAAUUCUACAUGAGUGAUUCUUAGCAUUGUCAUUACUAUUACUAUCAGGUAGAGCUAUAAUGACUAGGCUAGUGAUUUCAUUGACAUACAAAUCUUUUAGAUGAGUAAGCUUUCUUACUAAUGUAGGUGGUCAGAUUUUCUGAAAAUUUAUAGUCUUUAGGUGCUUAGAUCCAAGAAAAGUUAAGUGAUUUGCUCAGUAUCACUAUCUAUUGCCAGUAUGUGCCAAUCCCAGGAGAUACAGGUCUUCUUAGACCCUGGGUUGAUCAGUAGAUGAAGAGUUGGACUUGGAGUGAGGACAACCUGAGAUCAAAUCAUGUCUCAUACAGGAGUGUGGUCCUGCAUAAUCCACUUACAUCUUUCUCAGUGUCAGUUUCCUCACCUGUAAAAUAGAGAAGAUAAUAGCACCUACCUCAAAGGAUUCUUUUAAGGAUUAAAUGAGAGAACAUAUGUGAAGCACUUCUUAAAAUGAAAAGGUUAUAGGUGUGCUAGGUGGUAUCAUUUUUGGCUUUGAAGUUAUCUCUCCAUUUAAUAAUCUUCUUUAACAUCAUCAUUAUUAUUAUGUAUCCUAUAAAAGUGUUGGGUAUAUGUCCUCACACACCCUACAAUGCCACUGUACUUAUUAUUUGACAAGAGACUACUACUACAGCUCUCCUUAUGUGGAGUGAGCCAAGGGACCUGAGUUCAAAUUCAGCCUUAGACACUUUAGUUGUGUGACCCUGGCUGUCAUUUAAUGUUGGUUUCCCUCAGUUUCCUCAUCUGUAAAAUGACAUCAUAAAUAGCCCCUACCUCCCAAAGUUGUUUUGAGGAUCAAAUGAGUUGAUAUUUGCAAAGAGCCUUGCAGAUAGUAGGCAUUAUUUUAGUGUUGUCAUCAUUAUUGUUACCAGGGGGCAAUGGAACAGGAAGUUCCAGUGCUUUCAAGGCAAUUUGUCUUAGGGCAGUGGUCUCAAACUCAAAUAGAAAUAAGGGGCACUUAAUCAUAUAUAAAGACCCUUGAGGGGUGCUUAUUUAUCUAACCAUAAAAAGUAAAAUCAUCUUGUUUUUGAUGUAUUUUUAUUUAUUUUAUUAAUUAUUUCCCACAUGUUUUUUACUCUGAUUCUGCACUGGGGAGACUUGCCAGGCAUAAACUGGCAGAGUUUGACACUUCACUUCUGGAAAACUAAACUAAAGCUUGGGGUAGAAGAUCUAAGUUCUAAUCCUGAUCCAUAGUACUUGCAUGACCUUGAGCAAAUGACUGAACUGCUCAGUCUCAAUGAAAAUAUUAAAUCAACAACCAUUUAUUAAAUGCCUACUAUGUGCUCUGUAUUGUGCCAAGUGCUGUGGAUAAAAAGAAAGGCAAGCACAACCCCUGCCUUUAAGAAGCUCUUGAACCAAAAGGGGAGACAACAUGCAGCUAUAUCGAAAUUUGAUAAAUUGCAGAUAGUCACAGAAAGAAGGUGCUCACAUUAAGGGAGUCUGGAAAGGCUUCUUGCAGAAGGUGGCAAUCUUGGUUGACAUUUAAAGGAAGUCAGGGAAGCCAGGAGUCAGAGAUGAGGAAGGAGAGAAUUCCAGGCAUAGAAAUAACCAGUAACAGUGCAGAAUAGGGACCUGGAUUGUCUCGUUAGAGGAAAAACAAGAAGGCCAGUGUUACUGAAUCACAGAGUAUAUGGAGCUCAGUAAGGUAAAAGAAGACUAGAAAGAUAAGAAGGAGCUUUGAAUGCUAAAGAGAAAUGUUUAUAUUUGAUCUUGGAGAUGAUGGUGAGCCUUUAGUUCACAUUCAGUAGUUUAAUCAAUGUGGGGAUAGGAGGGCAUCCUGAUUUGAUCAGACAUGCUUUGGGAAAAUCACAGCUGAGUAGAGGAGGGACUGGAGUUGUGGGAAUCAUAAGGUAGAGACAUGGGCCAGAACUAGGUGUGAGGUGAUAAAAGCUCAAGCCCAAGUGGUGGCAUUAUUAGAGGGGAGAAGAGAGUAUACAUAAGAAAUAGUACAAAGGUACAAUCAACAAGACUUGUCAAUAGAUUGGAUAUUGGGGUGAGAGUGAGGAUUAAAAGGAUGACAGUUUCACCCAUCUCAUAUGAGAUGUCCAGUAGAAAGUUGGAGGGAGAGACUGGAGGCUCCUGGGUUUUCACGAAGAAAGUGCUUGAUGAGGAAUAUAAAUCUGAACAAUUCAGAUCCUUAAUACACAAGGGAGAAUUGUGGGAAUUUUAAAUUGGUGAGGAAAAUAAUUGUGAGUAAGGAAAUAUUUCAGGUCUGCUAAAACCAUUUCAUCACAAAAGCUGCCUCCUGUUCCUAUUCAUAGGCUAUAAUCAAAACUUGGUACAUUAACCAUUGAAGUGAGCUUCCAGAACCCAUGGCCAUCUUUUCUCUGCCCUCCCCCUUUCCCCUGUGUUCUUUCACCACUGCUACUAGUUUUAAAGUCUGGCUGGGUAAGCCAUUUCCAUCUUUCAAAAUAAUGAGAAUCACCCCAUUAAGCCACAGGGAGCAAGAACAUGUCACAGAGGAUCUAGGGCCCAUGCAUGAAGUACUACAUGGAGGCUGAAGAUAGCAAAGUGUUUAGUGCUUUCCACAGAAUCCCCAGAGAGCAGACUGCUGAUAGAGGGGUGAAACCACAAAGUUCCAGCAAACUUAUAGCUGCAGUCACUUCCCAAUUUGAAACCAUAACUAACUUGUAAUUAGGAUGGGAUGGAAGAGCCAUUUUGCAUUUAAAAUGCACAGCCCCUUCUCUGAGAAAUCCAUUUUUGAAACAAUUUGGAAUUGUAGUUUUUUGCUAAUAAUUUUAAGAUCUUUUCUUCCAAACACUUUAUAAGUGCUCAUUCUCCCAGCAUGCUUCCAAGGUAGGUAUCAUUACCCCAAUGUGUGUAUAGGGCUGGGUUGUUUUGAAGACAAAUGAGUUGGGACAUGAGCAUCCUGUUUUAACGUUAAUAUUUAAAUUGGAUUUUUUUACAUUGGUUGGAAAUUCAAAAUCAAGGCAAUUAAGGUUUUAUUCAUCCAGUUACGGUAGAGACAGUCAUAAUUUAGAGUUUUUAUGAUGCUGCAGAAUGAAACAACUAGAGCCCAUUUCCUUUUAUGAUGUAUAUGGCAGCUAAAUGAUCACCUUCUGAGACAGCUGCCCCCACAUGCCUCCCUCCCCACUUCUUAUCUUCCAAGAGUGAGAAAAGAUAUAACUUUGAUGCUGGAUCAUCUUUAUCAUGACCGAUGAACACACCUUAAGGACCAACACCAAGAUUCUCUUUGUUCUUUUUAUGUGUACUAGAUUAUAGUCUGCCAUUUAUGCCUCAUCAGAUCUAGGAGAGGAUUUGUGUUCUUGAAGACAAUGUCAAUGGGUUGCAACUCUAGGAAUUCCUUCUAUUGUGGUCCCUUUGAUAAACCAUUAGUUUUUUAUCCAGAGGCCAGACUAAUUUACUUAGAAAAGACUUAGUUACCAGAACAUUGACCAUCAGGUAGUGAAUAUUUUGAUUUUGAUUGCAACUCAUGAAACCAUCUAUUAAAGGAUAGCCAGGCUGUGACUUGUUUAAGAGGAACCAGUGCACAAGCAGAAUAAAUCACAGGUUCCAGAGGUGUUGAAAUAGAGAGGUGGAGCACUAUCAGAGUCAAUAAGAGGUACAGAAUGAAGGACCAUAUCUAAAACAUUUAAAUCAAGGGAUUUACUGGUCUCAGUUGCCCUGAUACUUGUUUUAAUAACUUUCUCUUCAUUGGCUAAAGAAGUCACAACCUCAUAGCCAACUUGGUGAGGUUAUCUCUACAAGGUUUAAGAUCUAGGUACCAUGUAUUGGUGUGACCAUUUGAAAGCUUUUCUAGGUUCCCAAGCUUUGUUUCCCUUCAGUCAGUCAGUCAACAACCAUUUUGUUGUUCCAAAUGCAAGGCACUUUGGAAAUGCAAGGAAAAGUAAAACACAUCACCAACUCUCAAAAAACUUUUAUAAUAAUGAGAGAGACAACAUAUAAACAACUCAUGUGCAUUAUAUAUAUAUAUAUAUAUAUAUAUAUAUAUAUAUAUAUAUAUAUAGUAAGUGGAAAGAAUCUCAGUAGAAAAGCACCCUUACAGAAGAUGGGAUUUGAAUGGAGUCUUGAAAGAAAAAAUGAGCAAAGCCGGGAGGCACAGGUGAGGAAGCAGAUCAUUCCAGACACUGGGAAUAGUCAGUGCUAUUUGAAAAACUAAGGUUCAUUUCCACUCCAUAAGGUAGAGAUGAUGGAUGUUGGGAUCUAUUUGGUCAAGGUUUAUCUACUCAUAGUAAAUUGAGUACAGUAUUGCUGAAACCUUACCAAAUGAUGAAAGGAUGAGAUAGUUGAAAGAGUUGUUAUACAAAGACCCAGUUAGAAUUCCAGUUCUACCAUCAUUUCACUGUAAUAAUGGACAAACUUUUCCUGUUUUGAGUCUCAGUUCUUCAUCUAUAAAAUGAGAGUUCUGGACCUUUAAAUACUUCCCAUCUCUUUAUCUAUGCCCUUUUUAUUAUUUUUCUUCAAGGCAAAACAACUUAAUUUGAAAAGUUUAUGUCCAUUCUGGUAAGUAAUUCAGGAGACUUAGCUGACAUUUGGGAAAAAAAACAAAACAAAGGCUAUAAAUUUGCAAAGGAAAAAUAAUAAAUAGGUUAUCUUAACAGAAAGAAGAGUGAAUAAUGAGUUAUUAACUAGAGUGGAUCAAAAGCAGCAAACUCUAGGUGCUUAAUGUUUGGCCUUACAUUAGGUAUAGUCAUGUGGAUGGUAUGUGGUGUAGUGUGGGGUCAGGAUUCCCUGACCACAAAUAUCUCAUCCUUUCUAGAGUGCCAUGGUGCCUAAAAUUCUAACAUCAGAACAUUAUUCUUUGGGGAAUAAAGAAUGCUACCUUCAGACAUCUCCCGUUUAAAUCUCAAUAGUUAAGAUGCAUUAACCAUUAACGAGGAAAAACCAGGUGGUAGAGUAAUUAGAAUGCUGGCCAUAGAGUAAUGAAAACUAAACCUUUUGAGUUCAGAUCUGAUAUCAAACACUUUCUAGUUGUGUGAUGCUGGGCAAGUAAUUUAACUGUAUUUGCCUCAGUUCCUCAUCCAUGGAAUGAGCUGGAGCAGGAAAGCACAAACCACUGUAGUAUCUUUGUCAGGAAUUAUGAGUUGUUUCUAAAGGGACAGCUAAUUUGAGGGCUUUAAGGGAAUGAGGGAUGGGUAUUGAUUUGGAGAUGCCUAGAUGGAGUGGGUGGGGCACUGAAUGAAUGGAUGAAAAUCAUGGGACCUUCCAGGGAGGGCAUAUCUGGGUGGGGUGCUGCAUUGAUAUGAAGAUAAGGGAUCUGACAAUAGUCAUGGCAGCAGGUGUUGCAAAUGGGAGUAACAGUAGAGCACCAAAGUGGGGGGAUAAUGGGAAGAUUGCUGCAGACAAUGUUGAAAACAAGGUUGGCUUGCUUUCCAUUUUUGCCAGGUGUGGAAUGUCAUGU
Long non-coding RNA from Monodelphis domestica (gray short-tailed opossum), 26908 nucleotides. RefSeq lists it as uncharacterized. The record is from RefSeq and is a predicted model, not a curated record. Lineage: Eukaryota; Metazoa; Chordata; Mammalia; Didelphimorphia; Didelphidae.